GGGGUUUUGUAAACUGAGGAAGUACCGAGCACUGACCUCAAACAGAGGCUGGGGAGAAAUGGGUAUGACUGAGCUGACAAGUCACAGGGCCGUGGCAAAUGGCUAGCUCUUUAACCCUUCCUCCUUCGCCGCAUCCAGAAACCCUCUCUGUACCCUUUAAUCCUGAGCAACUGUCACUCUCAACUGCCAAGAGUCAAGAAACCCAAGGGGAAUUGUGGGUAGGAGAGAUCUCAUAAGGCUGCAGGAAGCACUGACCAGUGGAGAGGUCGGGUGUCACCUCCCCGCCCCCAAAAUUAACUGUGAUGGCUCCGCCGGGGGGGGGGGGGGCUCACCUUCCCUUAAUAGCCUGGUGAAGGAGGGAGGUGGGGCUGUGUGUGUCAGACGGCUGCUCCCUCCUUCUAGCAGCGGCAGGUGUCCCCCUGACGGAGGGGACCUGCAGAGCCAGCAAGCAAAUGAAGCCCAAAGCCCAAAGCACGGAGGGUCACUGCCUGCUGGCUCUCUGAGCUGCCAGCCUCGCCCUAGCACUGCAGCCUGAGCCCAGGGUGAGCAGCCAGUAGGCCUCCGAGCAGCCACGGCAGGAGCAAGCACGUGCCUGGGAGGACCAGCAGGCAAGAACCGACCAGAACGGGUCCGGCACCUCCAGCUCGCCCCCUGGCAUGCGUGGACACCACCGUACAGUGCUCAUCCCCCAAAUCUCCUGCCUUCGAAGCCACUGGAAAUGCCGGGCUCUUCCUCAAACAGGGCGGAUCCUACGGAGCAGCCAGAGCUUUGGCAGCUUCCAGUCCCACUUCGUCCCUGAGAAUCUGCUCGUUGGGGUCUGGUCUCUAUCUCAAUCCCCAAUUACUGUUGCUAAUUCAGUAAACCUUUGUUGCGGGCCUACCUCUGGAGCCAGGGCUAGUUACAAAGUUCAGAAAGAUCUGGUUCCUGCUUUCCAGAAACAGAGGAGGGAACUGAGUGUUACAUUAGACUCACCGCAGUAUCUCUGCUCGCUUGGUAAGGGAGGCAGGAUACCAUAACAGACCUCUGGAGGCCGAGGGGCCUGGGGCGGGAGGCUUGCCUUUGCUCCUUACUAGUUCACUGAGCACAACCAAGAUUCCUUGACUUUGUUAGAUCCCCGUUUCCUCACUGGGGACAUGUGGACAGCAGCUGUCCCCACUUCACAAGAUCGGCGUGAAGACAAAAUGAAAAAUGCACACCAGGGUGGACCGCAGGGCCCGGCGCUCGGUAAGUCUGGACAAUGUUUCCUAUGAUCUUGCUUCUCUUUUGGAUAGGAACCUGCUUCCCAUCUCAAGGGGUCCUCUGAGCCCAGAAGAGCUAUCAUCUCUAAGAACUUGACCAAAAGCACCAGUGGAAUAAAGCUGGUAUUGCUCCUGGAACACAGAGAAGUCCGAUGUCCACCAUGGCUAGGCUGUCAGGCAAAAAGGACCCUCUUUCCUAACCUAAAACCGCUCUCGCCAAGAGAAGUGGGUGAAUGAGAAGGCAGCCACGCCUCUGGCCUCUAGGUAGCCCAGAGGAGGAGGAAGGUGUGCCUGCUUUUCCUUUCCUCACAGGCUCCUUAACUCCUUCCUCCCAGAAGAGGCCCAAGAAACAGCCGACAUACCAGUACCACAUGGUGCCAAGGGCUGGGGGAAGCUCACACUGCCAGCCUCGCGCUCCACUCGGCGCCGCCCGUACCAGUGGGUUACUGUAACCAUGGAGACCAACAAGUUCCUCCAUAUCACAGGAGAGCGUCCGCCUGCCAGCAGCCCAGGGCUCUGGGGGAGGCAGAAGGCAGCCUGCAGCAGAAAGCUUACAUUUUUAUUCAGCACUGUCUGGCUGUACAUGGUGGAGCAAAGGGCUGGAGUCCCAGGUCUGCAGUGGGACCCCAGCUCCGCCACUCUGGCUGCGGGGGAGGAAACGGCUCGGAAGUGUGGUACGAAGAGUCACACACACCCACACACACUGAAAGCAAGGCUCCCGCUCUCAUGUGACAUCUUCUUUUAAGGGAUCCAGGUCAGUAAACACGCUUAUCCCUAGUUUAUCCCAAAUCCUUUUGUUUGAGGAAUUAUCCAGACACCUUCCGAGCAGAGUGCGAUCGGUCUCUUCUCUGGCUCUCACGGCACCCCGUCUGUACCCGUUCAUCUCAUCGGACCCUGUGUCGCCACACCUUAGCCUCCUCGAGCUCUGAGAGGUAGUUGUUGGUUCCCCAUCCGGCCUUCCCACAACACAGAGCUUUCGGGAGGGACCCAGGUCGGAUUCACUGCCACACCAAGGCCUCUACUGCAGAGCAGGGGUCGGCGAUAGGUACUGAAUGCAUAAAUGGACACAGCCGAGUGGGCAGGAAGCCACAAGAUCCCCUCGCCCAAGCAGGGAGGGCAUCUAGAAAGCAUUAGUUCCACGAACUAACUUCCUCAGGUGGUGACAAGGCCCUUGGUGCUCUCUCCUGACACAAUGAUGUUGGCAAAUGUCAUCAAGAGGUGGACUGGAGACAGACUGAGAACACAGACACAGCCAGGGAUGGGGGGCCUACGCCCCACACUCCCGUCCCUGACCCCCCUCAAACAAGCCCAAGGCCUCUCCUUUCAUCAUGGCGGUGGGGGGCUCUGCUCUGAACUUCCUGAUGCCCAAAAACCACUGGGCGCAACUUAAGACCGCUCUCUGCCUCUCCAUAGCCAAUUUCACACCUGCUUUGCUAUCCAAAACCACUGUGUCUUGCUGGGACGGGCCAUUCUAAGAUUUGGGGAAGUGACAGUGACUUACUUGUAGGAGACAUUUAUUCUCUGGCACACUGAGAGCUCGGCUUUCGUAUUUCCUCCCUGAACCGAUGUAAUGACUGUAAGGCCCUGUCACCCCUGGAACGCCAAUAAAAUUCACCCAUACACACCUUCCUCCUGUCCUGCUGCAAAAAUUGGCAUUCCCACCCUGCCCCCAGCCCUCCCCAGGCUGCCUCCUGUUACAGAAAAGCAAAGGAACUAAAAACGGCAGCUGGGGAGCUCAGUUGACUCACCCAGCAUAAUCA
Long non-coding RNA from Mustela lutreola (European mink), 2998 nucleotides. RefSeq lists it as uncharacterized. NCBI's taxonomy places the organism in Eukaryota, Metazoa, Chordata, Mammalia, Carnivora, Mustelidae. The record is from RefSeq and is a predicted model, not a curated record. The transcript is spliced from 4 exons.